UACGAACUGUGCGAACGUUAUUCGGAAUCACUGGGCUUAAAGGGUGCGUAGGCGGUUAUCUAAGUCACGUGUGAAAUCUUCCGGCUCAACCGGAAAACUGCGCGUGAUACUGGAUGACUUGAGUGAGGUAGGGGUGUGUGGAACUUCCGGUGGAGCGGUGAAAUGUGUAGAGAUCGGAAGGAACGCCAGCAGCGAAAGCGGCACACUGGGCCUUUUCUGACGCUGAGGCACGAAAGCUAGGGGAGUGAACGGGAUUAGAUACCCCGGUAAUCCUAGCCGUAAACACUGAACACUGGAGGAAGGGGGUUUCGGCCUUCUUUCUCGUAGCGAAAGCGUUAAGUGUUCCGCCUGGGGAGUAUGGUCGCAAGGCUGAA
Molecule: ribosomal RNA, 374 nt
Filed under: uncultured bacterium
Lineage: Bacteria
Description: bacterial SSU rRNA
Rfam family: Bacterial small subunit ribosomal RNA
Source: RNAcentral